Molecule: long non-coding RNA, 2016 nt
Organism: Brassica napus (rape)
Lineage: Eukaryota; Viridiplantae; Streptophyta; Magnoliopsida; Brassicales; Brassicaceae
Exons: 4
Source: RefSeq, a predicted model, not a curated record
AAUGAAAAAGGCUUAAAAACAAAAGAACCGAUGCUUAACUUGGGCCUUUAAGGAUUGGUAAGUACCCUUGCGUGUCACUUUUUUAGUGGACCUCCUCUUUAUGUCCCUCUCUCCUUCUGUGGUAUCGCAGCUACUGUUUUCUCCAUCAUCAUGUACGCUUCUCCACUCUCAAUCAUGAGAUUGGUGACGAAGACAAAGAGUGUAGAGUAUAUGUCAUUCUUUUUAUCACUCUUUGUGUUUCUCUGUGGAAUUUCUUGGUUCAUCUAUGGUCUUAUCGGUCGUGACCCUUUUGUUGCAAUACCAAGUGGGUUUGAAUGUGCGUUAGGAGAAGAAAUCAACAGAUGCUGAAAAGGAUGAGAAGAAGACGGUGGAGAUGAAAGAUGAGGAGAAGAAACAAAAUGUGGUUUAUGGAAAGCAACAAGAGCAGCAAGUUUAGAUCCUUUUGAAUGAUUUGUUCUGUGGUUGUUCUAACGUGGUAGGACAAAGUAUUAUUAAGAUUCUAUUCGUUCUGUUUCCAUCUCUAACAAAGCGUUAUGUUAGUAUAUAGAUUAAGAAGCCUGUCGUCUGUGGUAUUGCUUCUCUCGGUUAUGAUCAUACAGAGAUUCUUGGAUAGUCUCUUUUGUCAGGAAAUAAAUGAAUCCAAAUGUUUUUUUUUUCUAAUCAGUUGGUUUUAUUUAGGACACACGCUUGCUGAAAUCUCUGCAGAGAAAGCUGGUAUCUUCAAGAGUGGAGUUCCUGCUUUUACAGUGCCUCAACCUGAUGAAGCAAUGAGUGUACUUGAUGAGAAAGCUUCAGAAUUGGAGGUAAAUGACUAUAUACAAAACAACCUAAUCACUAGACAGAUGUUGAGUUGAAUAGCUUUAUGAUUUGUAGUUGUAUCUUUUGAUUUGUAGCUUUAUGUCAUUUUUAUUUAAAAUUUUAUGUUAUCAAAUCUAUAUCAUUCAACUUAAAAAAAAAAAAAAUUUAAGAAGAAUAAGUUAUUUUCACUAACUAAGGUUCUUAACUUCUCAUAUCACCUUUAAAUCUAUUAAUUUAAUCAUUAGAACCUAUCAGGAGUUCUAAUGGAUGGAGUUAUGGAGUUGCUCUAAGAAACAGUGCUCGUUGCAUUGUCUACACACAGACAUGAUACACACAGCUUAAAUAAAAGAACCAAUUAACAUCGUUACUACAAACAUCGUGGUAAUAACAUCGACAAAAGGCUAAAACAUUAACAAAAUCAUCAAAGAAGAAAGUUUACUUUCACACUGUGGAGAUUGUCGCAACCUAUUGUUGUUUCUCACAAAAAAACAUUACACAUUAGCUUCUUACUGAUUUCAGUUUACGUUCAGGAUGUUUUUAGAUAAUCACAAAUCAUCGUUGAUUCUCGGUAUUCUAAUUGGGCUACUACAGUCAAGCUAGGCCCAUUCCUCUACAGUUUCAUAUGGAUAUUAUACUUUCUUAUUUGGCCCAUCUGUUAUCCUGCACUAUAUUUGCGAAGUGAUUUAUACACAUGUUGUCACUACAAUCAUUCUCGCUGAAAAAAAGAUGACAUGACACUUAAAAUAGAUGACAUAGUUUUAAAAAAUAGUGACAUGACAUCGUAUUAAGUGUGAGAUGUAAAAUUUCCUUAUAAAAAUUUAACUUUUUUUUCAGGGAUUUUAAAUAUGGUAAUAAAAAUAACUCAUAUAUCAUCAUUAAUGUCAAUUUUCCAUAUAAAUAUUUAUUUAUGGUAAACUAUUAAAUAUAUUAAUAAUUCAUAUAUCACAAUUAAAAUAAUAAUAUCUAUGUAUCUCACAUUAAUAAAAAUAAACUAAAUAAAGUAACACUAAUCUAAAACAAAUUUGAUAGUUAAAUAUUUACACAUUAUUUAAAUUUAUCUGUUCAUCUUCAUCGUUUAAAUUAAAGGAGUGAUCUAUAAUUUUUUCAUAGGCUUCCAAAUUUGUUGAUUCUUUAAUAAGGUUCAGUUAGUAAACGCCUUAUAGAUGUACAUAAACAUUUUUUCAAAGAUGAUCAAUAAAUUUAACAUUUCAUCAAAAA